UGGGGAAUAUUGGACAAUGGGGGCAACCCUGAUCCAGCAAUGCCGCGUGAGUGAAGAAGGCCUUCGGGUUGUAAAGCUCUUUUGUCAGGGAAGAAACGGUAGUAGCGAAUAACUAUUACUAAUGACGGUACCUGAAGAAUAAGCACCGGCUAACUACGUGCCAGCAGCCGCGGUAAUACGUAGGGUGCAAGCGUUAAUCGGAAUUACUGGGCGUAAAGCGUGCGCAGGCGGUUGUGUAAGUCAGAUGUGAAAUCCCCGGGCUCAACCUGGGAAUUGCAUUUGAGACUGCACGGCUAGAGUGUGUCAGAGGGGGGUAGAAUUCCACGUGUAGCAGUGAAAUGCGUAGAUAUGUGGAGGAAUACCGAUGGCGAAGGCAGCCCCCUGGGAUAACACUGACGCUCAUGCACGAAAGCGUGGGGAGCAAACAGGAUUAGAUACCCCAGUAGUCCCUGAGCGGGCUGGCAAGGCGCAU
RNAcentral lists this ribosomal RNA (472 nucleotides) under uncultured bacterium. RNAcentral describes it as "bacterial SSU rRNA". It matches the Rfam family "Bacterial small subunit ribosomal RNA", at positions 355 to 825 of the family's 1533-position model. The record is from RNAcentral.